CCUACGGGAGGCAGCAGUGGGGAAUAUUGCGCAAUGGGCGAAAGCCUGACGCAGCGACGCCGCGUGAGGGAUGAAGGUCUUCGGAUCGUAAACCUCUGUCAGCAGGGAAGAACGGUCACUGUGCUAAGCAGCAGUGAAUUGACGGUACCGGCAAAGGAAGCACCGGCUAACUCCGUGCCAGCAGCCGCGGUAAUACGGUGGGUGCGAGCGUUAAUCGGAAUUACGGGGCGUAAAGCGCUCGUAGGCGGUAUGUCAAGUCAAGGGUGAAAUCCCCGCGCUCAACGUGGGAACUGCCUUUGAAACUGGCACACUCGAGUGUGUGAGAGGGUAGUGGACUUCCAGGUGUAGGAGUGAAAUCCGUAGAUAUCUGGAGGAACAUCAGUGGCGCAGGCGACUAUCUGGCCCAUAACUGACGCUGAGGGGCGAACGCGUGGGUAGCAAACAGGAUUAGAUACCCGGGUAGUC
RNAcentral lists this ribosomal RNA (465 nucleotides) under uncultured bacterium. RNAcentral describes it as "partial 16S ribosomal RNA". It matches the Rfam family "Bacterial small subunit ribosomal RNA", at positions 338 to 795 of the family's 1533-position model. The record is from RNAcentral.